Molecule: ribosomal RNA, 415 nt
Filed under: Fusobacterium naviforme
Lineage: Bacteria; Fusobacteriati; Fusobacteriota; Fusobacteriia; Fusobacteriales; Fusobacteriaceae
Description: partial 23S ribosomal RNA
Rfam family: Bacterial large subunit ribosomal RNA
Source: RNAcentral
CCACCCCCCAAGGCUAAAUACUACUUAGUGACCGAUAGCGCAUAGUACUGUGAAGGAAAGGUGAAAAGGACCCCGGGAGGGGAGUGAAAGAGAACCUGAAACCCUAUGUUUACAUACAGUGGAAGUAUUAUUCUAUGUACUUACCUGCUCUUACGAAGCCUUGCAGGUCUAAAUGAGUGACUGCUGCGUCAACAUACUCGUCGUAGACAACUACGACUGCGUGUGUUUCCUUGCAUUCACACAUUUAUCCGAUGCAAAGCAAUCGUAGAAGGAGGCAAGUACAUAGAAGUACAACCGCGUACUUUUUGUAGAACGGUCCGGCGAGUUGCCGGUGCUGGCGAGGUUAAGGACUAAAGGUCCGGAGCCGAAGGGAAACCGAGUCUUAAUAGGGCGUAAAGUCAGCAGCGGCAGACCC